RNAcentral lists this transfer RNA (71 nucleotides) under Sandaracinaceae bacterium. Its description in RNAcentral is "tRNA-Arg". It matches the Rfam family "tRNA". Rfam says of the family: Transfer RNA (tRNA) molecules are approximately 80 nucleotides in length. The record is from RNAcentral. Lineage: Bacteria; Pseudomonadati; Myxococcota; Polyangiales; Sandaracinaceae.
GCUCCUGCGCCGAAGGGACGGCACCCGGUGUUCUAAGCCGGUCGGUGAGGGUUCGAGUCCUUCCGGGAGCG